This 253-nucleotide ribosomal RNA is filed under the name uncultured bacterium. Its description in RNAcentral is "partial 16S ribosomal RNA". It matches the Rfam family "Bacterial small subunit ribosomal RNA", at positions 524 to 776 of the family's 1533-position model. The record is from RNAcentral.
UACGUAGGGGGCAAGCGUUGUCCGGAAUCAUUGGGCGUAAAGAGCGUGUAGGCGGCCCGGUAAGUCCGCUGUGAAAGUCGGGGGCUCAACCCUCGAAUGCCGGUGGAUACUGUCGGGCUAGAGUGCGGAAGAGGCGAGUGGAAUUCCUGGUGUAGCGGUGAAAUGCGCAGAUAUCAGGAGGAACACCGAUGGCGAAGGCAGGUCUCUGGGCAUUAACUGACGCUGAGGAGCGAAAGCAUGGGGAGCGAACAGG